RNAcentral lists this ribosomal RNA (253 nucleotides) under uncultured bacterium. RNAcentral describes it as "partial 16S ribosomal RNA". It matches the Rfam family "Bacterial small subunit ribosomal RNA", at positions 524 to 776 of the family's 1533-position model. The record is from RNAcentral.
GACAGAGGGUGCAACCGUUGUUCGGAAUUACUGGGCGUAAAGCGCGUGUAGGCGGCUAUGUAAGUCGGGCGUGAAAUCCCACGGCUCAACCGUGGAAGUGCACCCGAAACUGCGUAGCUAGAGUCCUGGAGAGGAAGGUGGAAUGCUUGGUGUAGAGGUGAAAUUCGUAGAUAUCAAGCGGAACACCAGUGGCGAAGGCGGCUCACUGGCCCGGUACUGACGCUGAGGCGCGAAAGCGUGGGGAGCAAACAGG